UACAGAGGUCUCAAGCGUUGUCCGGAUUCAUUGGGCGUAAAGAGCUCGUAGGCGGCUGCUCAAGUCGAAUGUGAAAACUCGAGGCUCAACCUCGAGCCUGCAUUCGAUACUGGGCGGCUAGAGUCUGGUAGGGGGAUCUGGAAUUCCUGGUGUAGCGGUGGAAUGCGCAGAUAUCAGGAAGAACACCAAUGGCGAAAGCAGCCCUCUGGGACGGUACUGACGCUGAGACGCGAAAGCGUGGGGAGCGAACAGG
This 253-nucleotide ribosomal RNA is filed under the name uncultured bacterium. RNAcentral describes it as "partial 16S ribosomal RNA". It matches the Rfam family "Bacterial small subunit ribosomal RNA", at positions 524 to 776 of the family's 1533-position model. The record is from RNAcentral.